UGAUAAUAUUACUGCCAAAAAUACGGUAUAAUGUGUGAUGUUUUCUAGUAUUUAUUGACAUAAAGAGGUUGCGAUGACCUUUAUCCUAUUUAUUUCCAAAGGUUCUUCAACUGUCCUUCACUUUAAUCCUUUGAGACCCAGGCCUCUUUUCAGUUUGAUAAGACUUAUUGCAACAAUGAGAGCAUACCUGUCUCUGGCUUUGCUGUUAUGUGCAAUGCUAUACAGAAUGUAUAACAGGGUUGACCCAUCUAUUGAAUGUGAAGAUUUUUUUGCAGUUGGAAAGUGAUGGAGCAAUAACAUCCCUCACUGACCACUUGCGAAGAAACAAAGCUACUUAUUUAAUACAAUAUAGUUGUAGUGCACUUGCAAUGCAGGAGGUUAAGCUGAUGGAAGAAGAAAAUGUAAUGUAAUUAAACAUUUGAGAUCAAAUGUGACAAAUGAAUAAAAAAAAUCUGCAAUCCCA
This is a long non-coding RNA of Phyllopteryx taeniolatus (common seadragon), 463 nucleotides long. RefSeq lists it as uncharacterized. The transcript has 2 exons. NCBI's taxonomy places the organism in Eukaryota, Metazoa, Chordata, Actinopteri, Syngnathiformes, Syngnathidae. The record is from RefSeq and is a predicted model, not a curated record.